RNAcentral lists this ribosomal RNA (781 nucleotides) under uncultured Neocallimastigales. Its description in RNAcentral is "partial large subunit ribosomal RNA". It matches the Rfam family "Eukaryotic large subunit ribosomal RNA", at positions 23 to 640 of the family's 3401-position model. The record is from RNAcentral. Lineage: Eukaryota; Fungi; Neocallimastigomycota; Neocallimastigomycetes; Neocallimastigales.
AGAGAGAGACAUGCGUGCAUAUCAAUAAGCGGAGGAAAAGAAACUAACUAGGAUUCCCCUCAGUAACGGCGAGUGAAGCGGGAAGAGCUCAAAUUUGAAAUCUUCAAGGUUCUACCUUGACGAAUUGUAGUUUAAAGAAGUGUUUUCGGUUAGAGGAGUUUAGGUAAAAGUUCUUUGGAAUAGGACAUCAUAGGGGGUGAGAAUCCCGUAUUUGACCUAUUAUUUCCUAGCUUUGUGAUACACUUUCAAAGAGUCAGAUUGUUUGGGAAUGCAGUCCAAAAUGGGUGGUAAAUUUCAUCUAAAGCUAAAUACUGGCGAGAGACCGAUAGCGAACAAGUACCGUGAGGGAAAGAUGAAAAGAACUUUGAAAAGAGAGUUAAGCAGUACGUGAAAUUGUCAAAAGGGAAGCGUUUGACACCAGUGUUGUUUUUUCCGAAAAUCAAUUAUAAACGUUUUGUUUUUGAGGAGUGAUGACUUCAUCGGCUUCCUUCUCUCUUUACGAAACUUUUGUAAUGCACUUUUCGGUUAACAAGUCAACAUCAAUUUCUUUUGUUGUAAAAGGGUCAUUGGAAGGUGGCUUUCUUUUCGGAGAAAGUGUUUAUAGCCUUUGGCCUCUGCAAUCGGAGAGAUUGAGGUCUGCAGCGUAGAUCCUUCGGGGUUAGAUACAUUUGUGCUAAGUUAUAGCCUUUCAUAGACAACUUGUUGACUAUGAUCAGUCAUGUAGCUUACUCGCUUAUGCUAUUUUACCUACGCUUAGGAUGUUGACAGCAGUAUAGACUGU